GGAGUGGUAGCUCAGUUGGUUAGAGCGCCGGCCUGUCACGCCGGAGGUCGCGGGUUCGAGUCCCGUCCACUCCGCCA
RNAcentral lists this transfer RNA (77 nucleotides) under bacterium. Its description in RNAcentral is "tRNA-Asp". It matches the Rfam family "tRNA". Rfam says of the family: Transfer RNA (tRNA) molecules are approximately 80 nucleotides in length. Their secondary structure includes four short double-helical elements and three loops (D, anti-codon, and T loops). The record is from RNAcentral. RNAcentral also lists the same sequence under 6 other names.